This 449-nucleotide ribosomal RNA is filed under the name uncultured bacterium. RNAcentral's name for it is "partial 16S ribosomal RNA". It matches the Rfam family "Bacterial small subunit ribosomal RNA", at positions 28 to 523 of the family's 1533-position model. The record is from RNAcentral.
AGCGAACGCUGGCGGCAGGCUUAACACAUGCAAGUCGAGCGGGCCCUUCGGGGUCAGCGGCGGACGGGUGAGUAACGCGUGGGAACGUGCCCUCUGGUUCGGAAUAACUCAGGGAAACUUGAGCUAAUACCGGAUACGCCCUUUUGGGGAAAGGCUUGCUGCCGGAGGAUCGGCCCGCGUCUGAUUAGCUAGUUGGUGGGGUAACGGCCUACCAAGGCGACGAUCAGUAGCUGGUCUGAGAGGAUGAUCGGCCACACUGGGACUGAGACACGGCCCAGACUCCUGCGGGAGGCAGCAGUGGGGAAUAUUGGACAAUGGGGGCAACCCUGAUCCAGCCAUGCCGCGUGAGUGAUGAAGGCCUUAGGGUUGUAAAGCUCUUUUAUCCGGGACGAUAAUGACGGUACCGGAGGAAUAAGCCCCGGCUAACUUCGUGCCAGCCGCCGCAGUAA